UCCUCUUGUGAGCGCCUUUGUUCCUCCCCGACGGCGAUGGCGGCUGGAGAUUGAAAGUCUCGCCGUCAUCUGAUGAAUCCUCUGAUUCCUCAUGGCACCGUUUCUCGUUAAUGUAUCGGAUAGUUCUUUCUUUGCCUCCCUUGUUACUUGGUUUCUUCUUGUGUUGGGGGUUUCCGAUCGCUUUUUUAUGUCUGUAGAUCGUUUUUGGGUUUCGUUUGGGGGUUUGGGCUUUCGGUACGAAUGAUCGAAGGCAGGAUGGUGUGUAUCGGCGUGAUGCUAUUCUACCAUGCAUUUCUUGCCGAAAGUGAUUCCUGCUAGACCAAUAUUGGGGAAAAUGGGCAGUUGGGAUACCCUAAUCUUGCAACCGGUAUCUCGACAAUCAUUUUCCUUACAACCGUACUAAAAGCAGUACCGUUAUCGUUUUUUUUUUUUUUUCUCGUUCUAUUAGGAUCUCUUGUUGUUCCUGAUCUUGAAGGAGGGUUUUUGAUGGUAGUUGACGACAAGGUGGAAUUAGGCUCAACUUUUUCGGGUUAUGGUCAUGUUACUUUCGGCAUUUCGUGAUGAAUUAAAAGGAAGUGAAAAUGAGGUUUUUCACAUUCGUUUAUCUGUAGAAAAAGGAAAAUAAGCUGUGGAAUUCUUUGAAAGGAAAAUUAAUCUUACAUUGGUGAAGGCAAAAAUGUAGGUAGUGUUAAAAGUGAAGAUCUUAUGUUUAGGUCUUUUAUGGGCUUAUGCGACGUUAUUUCUUAAUCACCAAUGAUAUGUUUAUUUGUUUUUCAUAUUAGAACUUUUCUCCACCAGGUUAAAUUUUGACGAAAUUUGUUGGCUUGGACUUUGACGAAAUUUGUUGCCUUAAUCAUUCAUCUAAUGCCAAUUGUUUAAUUCUGAUGGACUUGUACUGGAGCAACAUUUGAGUAGAUAAGCUUACAUUUUUGGACAUUUUCAUUUUUCAGCGGCAUUGAAAUACGUCUCCCUUAUUACUUCGACAUGAUGAUGGAUGGAUAAAAUUUGUCUGGCAACAAAUUAUUUUAAAUUGGCAUUUUGUAUGGUAUGUUUGAAGAAUUGAACGAUCAAUCUAGAGGGCUGUUUCAUAGUUGAUUACAUUGGCUCUAAGAAUGGUUAUUUAAUAGUUGAUCAUUCACAUCUUCACCUAUACUGCCCUUCUCCCUCUCUUCACUGUGGCAUGCUUAGUUGUGUUGAAGCAUAAAAAUUAUGGACUUUCCACAUUUCUUAAACUAAAUGUAAAUAACUGAUCUAUACUUUAGGAGCUUCAUGCUUUGCACUUCCUGUUGCACUACUUCCUCCUAGCCGUACACUCAUUUAUUUCCUUUGAUCUCCCUUUAUAUUUGUAUCAAGUUAUAAUUUUCUUCUUUUAUUAAGUAUAUAUAUCCGUCUGCAUUACGUGGAAAGAGGAUAAGUAGUUUGACAAUUGGUCAAUUUGACUUUUUUCACAAUAGUGUGACAGGAUUAUGUGCAAUAUUUCAAUUGUUGCAUAAACCUGUUCCAUUGUGAGGCAAUGGAAUGUAUAAAUCAAUAAUUUCAUAAAAGGUCUAUAGCCUAUUUAACAAGUAUAAUUCUUAUAUUCUAAUUCAUUUCCAAAUUCAAAUCCAUUGUGGUGUGACUGGGGCAUCAAUUAACCUUCUUCCCUAAGUAGUUUGGUAGUGGGGUCUUUAUGUUUUGUUGACCAAGAAAUGUGGUAUUUAUGAUUUCUUGUCCAGGAAAUGGUGUGUUUAUGUUUUGUUAACCAAUUUUAUUUUCUUAGAAAACUCUUUUGAUGAACUUUUUAUUCUCUUUCUAACUAAAAAAAUAUGGUGUUUUGCAUAUAUAUCCUUGCAAAGUUAGGAAACAACAUAUUUGUUAUUACAAAUUUUAGCAUAAGAUGUAUCUCUAAAUAUGAAAUUUAUUGCAUAUGUUGUUUGUCUUCAAUGCCUUCAAGUUAACUGUGAUUAACGUAGGUUUGUUGUUUAAAGACUACAUAAAAUGUAAAGUACCAAAAUGUUUUUUCAUAGCUAGCUAGCAUAAGGUCUAGCAUUGAUCUAUGUAUUUGGUCAUGAUGAGGUGCUUGAUUUUUCUGGCCAGGUUUAUAUAAGUUUUCAUAGAAAGGUUAAUUUUUUUCUUAAAGUCGGCCCCACUUGUGGAUGAUUACAAAACAUUUUUUUUCCUCCACUAAAAAUAUUAUGUGGUGUGUUGCUUGCUAAGUAUCACUUUCUAUAUUAAAGUGAUUUUUUAUGUAGAGUCAGUGUUAGUAAUGGUGUAAUGGGCCAAGCCAUGUUUGUUUUGGGCCUCGUCCAUAUGAAAUUUAUUUAUGUGAGCUCUGUUCCAACUGAAAACAUUCUGCUACUCAUCUAGUCAUUAUAAACCACACAAAAUUAAUAAAUAUCUCAAAAUCGAUGCUUUUGGAAAGCAGUUCAAAAGUUUAAGAUCCUCAAUGAAUAAUUUUAAAUCUAAUAUUCAGUUACUGGACAUUUUAAAUUCAUUUGCAAUAUAUUUGGGCAAUUUUUGGUAUCAUGGCAAAUUUAUUGGGUAUUUUGUUUGGCUAAGUGGCAAUUAUUAACUAAAUGAUCAAACCAGGCUCACCCAUUGGGAUGAUAAUUAAUUGUGUUUUUCUUUUUGGUACUUGUCUUUCCAAUUCACUUAAGUUAAAGCGCCUCAUCUAGUCACACACUGAAAGUAGAUUAAGAUUGAGUUGUAAGAGUUAGUAGGUAUACUAUUAUUAGUUUUUGUUUAAGCAUAUUGGUAGUCAUUUAGGUUGAAGUUAUUAGAUUAAUUAUCCCUUCCAGUUGUGUUUAAUAAGCUAAUUAUCGCGUAAGAUCGUGUUAUGCCAAUUGUUAUCAGAGUUGGGGCAUGGUGAGCCACCUGAGUAAGAAAGAGAGAACAGCUUGUGGAAGGGUAGCUGGCAUUGGAGGACUUGUGUCACGUGGAGCCAUCAUUGGGUUAUCUCACAUGCAUCAGUUUAGUUUUGAGUUAUGUUGGGCCUUGAUGAGGACGUCGAACCCUUAAGUAGGAGAGAUUACAGCACUUCUAUUAGUCUCACAUUAGAAGUGUGCUAAUACUAAGAUUGACUUGUAAGGAUGAUAGAUUUAGUAUUAUUAACUUUCGUUUAAUAGCUGGAGGUUUAGGUUCAAUGAAAUAUAGUUCAAUGAUUCCGUCUCCAAGUUAUCCAUCAUUAUCCUGACAUAAGUCAGAUUAGAGUCCCUAGUUGUGUUAGGAGCAAUUACUUGGUGUCAAAAAGAUAUCCAACUUGAGCUUUUAAUAGGUUUUGGUGUAUGCAUAGUUUUUUUUCUUUAAGGUGUCUGGAUUGUUCGGUUCACAAAUUGAUAGAGUUGAAAUUCGUUGGUGCCCUACCCAUUGUCAUUCUUAUAUGGCAGGGGUUCCCAUGGCAAAAUGUUAAUUAGGUUUGGAAUGGUUAUAUGUAUGUAAACAGGUGCCCAAGAUGAGUUUGAGACAGUUUUGCACUGUUGAGUAGUUAAUCCUUUUUGUUGUCAUUCCUUGGUGGCAGUGAGUUCAUUUUUUUGAGUACCCACACUUGCCUGACUAAUUUAAGUCAGACCAGGUUCUCUCUUAAUUGGGUGGGGAUGGUUUAUGUAUUGAAAUGAAAUCUUGAGUCAGGCAGGUCUGCGGUAGGUUCAAGGAUUUGGAGAGUUGGAUUUCAUAAUGGGUUGGGUGAAUCAAAAGCUCUGGAACCAUGCUUGUACAGGCUACAAAUGUAAGCUGAAGCUCUUACGUUUCCUUUAUGUGGUUCUCCUGAAAGAUUGCCCCUUUUUUUUUUGUCAUGUUGAAAAUAAUUUUGUCACAUUCGAGUUUUCCAUCAUUGAUGGACUUGUGCUGGAUGGAAAAAAUGCUGAGUCUAUUUUCCAUUAAAGGGAAUGAUUCCUUUGGACUUGUUGCCGAUCGUACUGUUCUUUUCUUUUUUUCUCUGGGUUUUGGCUGGUCAAUCCAAUUGGUUCCCCUGCUGUGUUUGGAGAUUAAAUGUCAUAAUUGGUGAUUUGGGGGAGAGUAAUGUCAACCUCGAGUGGAUCUUGUUAAGUAGAUCCUGUAUGUGAUUCUCGCCAUGUACAUUGUUUUUGAUAGAAAUGUUUCGAGUUGGUUAAGGUGAUUUAUAGCUUUUGUUGUGGAAUUCCAUGAUGAACAAGAUAAUUUGUAGACUGUUCUCUUGCGAUGUAUCCAUGAUUUAGAUCCUUGUUUGGCUUUUGUCGCAAUGCUUUAUCCACUUUUGAGUGAUGUCUAAGUUUUUUGUGGUCUCGGUGAUGCAAGUAACGGAGAUUGUCUAUUUGUAUAGAUGAGGCUGUAAAUGUGGAUCUUCCUCGAACCUGCAUUUGCUGGAGCCUUUGUACACUGGGCUGUGUUUUGUUCAAAUUUAAGCCUCCCUCUGUGCGUCCAUUUUGGUAUCCCAAAAAGGAUAUGUAAUGGGACAAGUCAACUACCAGCUGUAGCCCAUAAAGCCUGUGAAACACAAGGCUUCCCAUGUUUGGGCCAUUAUGAUCUGAGGAUAGGAUGAUCCGAUGGCCAAUCAACUGCCAACGACUGAUUCGCCAGUGCCUUGGAUGCUUGUAUUCGAUUCAUUUAUAAGCUAUAGUUUUGGGAAGUAUCCUUUAGAUGUCACACUUUGCCCCUUUAAUGUGGACAUGUGGUCAUGAUUGUUCAAUAUUUAUCCAAUAAAUAUUGCAUGCGAGAAGUUCUUAUGCAAAGUUUAGUGGAUUCUGAUAGCUUUACUGAAAUGUUGAAAAAUGCUUGAAUCUCUGUAGGUAUGGUCCCUGACAAGCUGCUACAGAUGAGAGCGAGAGAGUACAUGGCUUUAUGUGCAUGAGAGGGAUUAAUGCGGCAAUGUCAGAUGCAGACUGUGGUGCUUUCAACCCUAGCAGGCAGGAGCUGUAGAUAUGGUGGGUGCUGGUGCACUACUGCAUAUGCCGCACAGCUUCAAGUAGUAGCUUGUCUGCUCUGUUGCUGGUGGAAUCUGAAGCAGGACACUCACCAGGUACUGCCGCAACCACCGCCCCUCCCUUCAGUGGAUGUAUAGAUGUUUCAAAAUAGGUUGGCAACAACACGCAAAGAUCUCAGGAGGAUUAUGACGAAAAAGUAGAGAGAAAAAGAUUGUUCCUUUUAGUUUAAUAAAUGACUAAUUACGAGGGUGUUUAAGAGAAAUAUAUAUACAUAUAUAUAUAUGUAUAUAUUAUUCUGAAAUAGGGAUCAGGGGUAAUGGUGUGUUGAUGUAAACACCCUAAAGUACAAAAAUAUUAGAUUGAAGUAAAAGAAGUACAAUUGAUAGUGAUAUAGUAUAUUUUGACUCAAGACACGUCAAGUGAGAAUCUGUACCAAGG
RNAcentral lists this long non-coding RNA (5315 nucleotides) under Musa acuminata (dwarf banana). Its description in RNAcentral is "long non-coding RNA (MACU_LNC000367)". The stretch from base 248 to 396 matches the Rfam family "small nucleolar RNA snoR135". Lineage: Eukaryota; Viridiplantae; Streptophyta; Magnoliopsida; Zingiberales; Musaceae. The record is from RNAcentral.